GCUAGUCGAGCGUCUCCUAGCCAUGGUGGAGGCGCGGCGUACAGCUCAGUAACACGUGGCUAACCUACCCUUGGGACGGGAACACCCCCGGGAAACCACGCGCAGACCUUGACGACAUAAACAUAAAUUCUCAAAAAUCCAAAAACCCCAUAACAUAAACAAAUACUUUACUACACCGCCUUGCUGAUUUCUAAGCUGGCAAAGGCUAUCUUAAACUAACCAAAACUCGCACACAACUUUCUAAGAAUAGAAACUUAAGGUUCUGGCGUAGCCCAAAACUGGGGUUAAUUCUCGAUGGGUGAGGAGGCCUGGAAUGGUUCUUCACUGAAAGGGCGUUAGAGGCAUGCUCUCUAACGUUGCCCAAGGAUGGGGCCGCGGCCGAUCAGGUUGUUGGUGAGGUAACGGCUUACCAAGCCUAUAACCGGUACGGGCCGUGAGAGCGGAAGCCCGGAGAUGGGCACUGAGAUAAGGGCCCAGGCCCUACGGGGCGCAGCAGUUGCGAAAACUCCGCAAUGCACGAAAGUGUGACGGGGCUACCCCGAGUGCCGUCCGCUGAGGAUGGCUUUUCUCCGCUGUAAGGAGGCGGAGGAAUAAGGAGAGGGCAAGACUGGUGUCAGCCGCCGCGGUAAUACCAGCUCUCCGAGUGGUAGGGGUGAUUAUUGGGCUUAAAGCGUCCGUAGCCGGCCUGGCAAGUCUUCCGUUAAAUCCAGCAACCUAAUUGUUGGGCUGCGGGGGAUACUGUUA
This 744-nucleotide ribosomal RNA is filed under the name uncultured archaeon. RNAcentral describes it as "bacterial SSU rRNA". It matches the Rfam family "Archaeal small subunit ribosomal RNA", at positions 53 to 589 of the family's 1478-position model. The record is from RNAcentral.